AAUUCAUAUUGUGGACACUUCUACAAAAUUUCUUUGAAUCGUUGUCAAGUCUCAAACAAAGUUUUAAGUUCCAUCUGAACAAAUGAAGAUAUCUCAUUCUGAAGCU
Small nucleolar RNA from Dioscorea cayenensis subsp. rotundata (Guinea yam), 106 nucleotides. Lineage: Eukaryota; Viridiplantae; Streptophyta; Magnoliopsida; Dioscoreales; Dioscoreaceae. The record is from RefSeq and is a predicted model, not a curated record.